This 72-nucleotide transfer RNA is filed under the name Marmota monax (woodchuck). It matches the Rfam family "tRNA". From Rfam's summary of the family: Transfer RNA (tRNA) molecules are approximately 80 nucleotides in length. Their secondary structure includes four short double-helical elements and three loops (D, anti-codon, and T loops). The record is from Rfam by way of RNAcentral. Lineage: Eukaryota; Metazoa; Chordata; Mammalia; Rodentia; Sciuridae.
AGGGGUGUGGCUCAGCAGUAGAGCACUCGCCUAGUAAAUGCGAGGCCCUGGGUUCGAUCCUCAGCACCACAC